AUGCCAUUGUCGGACAAGAAGCUAAAGCUGGGCGAGUUGCAACCGACCUGCGACAAAAUCAUGGCAAGGAUGAAGGGAUGGAAGUUGGCCCUAAUUUCCUUGGAUGGCCGCAUUGACCUAGUUAAAACAGUGAUGUCUGCUAUGCCCAUAUUCCAGAUGAUAGCCCUGCAUAUGCCGGCUUGGUUGAUUAAGCUGGUCGACAAGGUUCGCCGUGGGUUCCUAUAGGGAGGGUAGGAGAUAUCCUUAGGCGGCAAGUGUCUCGCCAAUUGGAAGCUAGUUUGCCGGCCGACUGAAUUCGGUGGCCUCGGUGUCCUUGACCUAGCCAAGAACAGCGUAGCACUGCGUGUUCGAUGGCUAUGGCAAGCUUGGACUGACCCAAACAAGCCAUGGCUCGGGCUUGAGCUACCGGUCGACCCGACGGUUAGAGCCCCCUUCAAUGCCUCUGUCACCUUUCACCUCGGAGAUGGGACACGGCUAUCCUUUUGCAAGGAUCCCUCGCACAACGGGGCCAGCUUCCAACUGCGCUUCUGUCACCUCUUUCGACAUGGCACGAGGAAAAAUAUCACCGUAGCUCAAGCACUGCAUGGUGGCCGAUGGAUCGGGCACCUUCAACCAAUGCUCACUCCGGAGGCCACAAGAGAGUGA
RNAcentral lists this ribosomal RNA (645 nucleotides) under Triticum aestivum (bread wheat). Its description in RNAcentral is "partial small subunit ribosomal RNA". Lineage: Eukaryota; Viridiplantae; Streptophyta; Magnoliopsida; Poales; Poaceae. The record is from RNAcentral.